AUCGCACAGUCCCUGGCUACAGAGAGACUCAAAGGCACAUGGAAAGGAGCAGAGAGAAAAAUCAUGAAAUACAAUUGCUGAAUCAAUAAGAAAUAAACACUUAUGAGGCACCUGAGACACACUGAAAAUCUGAACUCCAGAAAUUUUGAACAAAUGGACACACCCAUCAUGUUCUCCUCUCAAGGAAAAGGAAUGCUCCCUGCAAGAAAAAGCAGCCUAAAUAGACCACAAAUAACAUGCUUCUUGAUGGAGCAGUCCAUUCCGGCCUGA
This is a long non-coding RNA of Eptesicus fuscus (big brown bat), 270 nucleotides long. RefSeq lists it as uncharacterized. The transcript has 3 exons. The record is from RefSeq and is a predicted model, not a curated record. Lineage: Eukaryota; Metazoa; Chordata; Mammalia; Chiroptera; Vespertilionidae.